UGGGGGAUAUUGCACAAUGGGCGAAAGCCUGAUGCAGCGACGCCGCGUGGGGGAUGAAGGCCUUCGGGUUGUAAACUUCUUUUGCUCUGAACAAGGCAUGCCUUUGGGGUGUGUUGAGUGUAGGGGUUGAUUAGCGCCGGCUAACUACGUGCCAGCAGCCGCGGUAAUACGUAGGGCGCGAGCGUUGUCUGGAAUUAUUGGGCGUAAAGGGCUUGUAGGUGGCUGGUUGCGUCUGUCGUGAAAGCUCAUGGCUUAACUGUGGGUUUGCGGUGGGUACGGGCUGGCUUGAGUGCAGUAGGGGGGGCUGGAAUUCCUGGUAUAGCGGUGGAAUGCGCAGAUAUCAGGAGGAAUACCGGAGGCGAAGGCGGGUCUCUGAGCUGUAACUAACGCUAAGGAGCGAAAGCGUGGGGAGCGAACAGG
This 420-nucleotide ribosomal RNA is filed under the name Fusobacteriota bacterium. RNAcentral describes it as "Fusobacteria bacterium partial 16S ribosomal RNA". It matches the Rfam family "Bacterial small subunit ribosomal RNA", at positions 355 to 776 of the family's 1533-position model. Lineage: Bacteria; Fusobacteriati; Fusobacteriota. The record is from RNAcentral.